RNAcentral lists this ribosomal RNA (633 nucleotides) under Agrobacterium pusense. RNAcentral's name for it is "bacterial SSU rRNA". It matches the Rfam family "Bacterial small subunit ribosomal RNA", at positions 90 to 758 of the family's 1533-position model. The record is from RNAcentral. Lineage: Bacteria; Pseudomonadati; Pseudomonadota; Alphaproteobacteria; Hyphomicrobiales; Rhizobiaceae.
GGGGAGUGGCAGACGGGUGAGUAACGCGUGGGAACAUACCCUUUCCUGCGGAAUAGCUCCGGGAAACUGGAAUUAAUACCGCAUACGCCCUACGGGGGAAAGAUUUAUCGGGGAAGGAUUGGCCCGCGUUGGAUUAGCUAGUUGGUGGGGUAAAGGCCUACCAAGGCGACGAUCCAUAGCUGGUCUGAGAGGAUGAUCAGCCACAUUGGGACUGAGACACGGCCCAAACUCCUACGGGAGGCAGCAGUGGGGAAUAUUGGACAAUGGGCGCAAGCCUGAUCCAGCCAUGCCGCGUGAGUGAUGAAGGCCUUAGGGUUGUAAAGCUCUUUCACCGAUGAAGAUAAUGACGGUAGUCGGAGAAGAAGCCCCGGCUAACUUCGUGCCAGCAGCCGCGGUAAUACGAAGGGGGCUAGCGUUGUUCGGAAUUACUGGGCGUANAGCGCACGUAGGCGGAUAUUUAAGUCAGGGGUGAAAUCCCGCAGCUCAACUGCGGAACUGCCUUUGAUACUGGGUAUCUUGAGUAUGGAAGAGGUAAGUGGAAUUCCGAGUGUAGAGGUGAAAUUCGNAGAUAUUCGGAGGAACACCAGUGGCGAAGGCGGCUUACUGGUCCAUUACUGACGCUGAGGUGCGAAA